UACGUAGGGGGCAAGCGUUGUCCGGAUUUAUUGGGCGUAAAAGAGCGUGUAGGCGGCUGGGUAGGUCCGUUGUGAAAACUCGAGCUCAACCUCGAGACGCCGAUGGAAACCCUCCAGCUAGAGUCCGGAAGAGGAGAGUGGAAUUCCUGGUGUAGCGGUGAAAUGCGCAGAUAUCAGGAAGAACACCGGUGGCGAAGGCGGGACUCUGGGCCGAUACUGACGCUGAGGAGCGAAAGCGUGGGGAGCGAACAGG
This 253-nucleotide ribosomal RNA is filed under the name uncultured bacterium. Its description in RNAcentral is "partial 16S ribosomal RNA". It matches the Rfam family "Bacterial small subunit ribosomal RNA", at positions 524 to 776 of the family's 1533-position model. The record is from RNAcentral.